This 1165-nucleotide long non-coding RNA is filed under the name Triticum aestivum (bread wheat). RNAcentral describes it as "long non-coding RNA (TAES_LNC021790)". The record is from RNAcentral. Lineage: Eukaryota; Viridiplantae; Streptophyta; Magnoliopsida; Poales; Poaceae.
GUACGCAAUCAUACCUAGCAUAUUUACAACAUCAUUAGAUAUUUGUAGAUAUGAAUAUAUUGUAAAAAUAAGAGAAUUGAAACAAAUAUAAAAAAUGAAUAACUCAUGCUAUCAAAAUUCUUAAAUCUUGCACCUACACGUGAGAAUAACAUAGUAUCUACUACAUACAUGUUUCAUGUAGAUCCCUAUUAAUUAAAACAACCAACUUAUGGGUAAAAAAAUGAAAUGUAAAGUACUUGUGCAUAUCAUCUGAAUAAGAAAAACAAAAACACUGGUCAAAGGGGGACAGUACAUAUUGAAGAAGGGAUAGUUAUGCAUUGAGAAAACAAACAAGUACAUACUUCUACAGGUGUGUCGAGUAGUAUAUUAUUUUUCCAUCCUUGUAAGUAGGCAUGAAUUGACUUGUCAAUAUUUGGCAGAACAGCACCUUUGGGUACCACCAAUUUGCAAAAAAUAGGUUGCCCAACCCCAGAACCUACCCUAUUAUAUAGAGCAUUAAGAAAUUGGAUAUACCCUAAAGAACAAUAUCCACAUAUUGUUGACAGUUGACAGUUGAAAAUUAGACCAAAACAGAUAUAUAGUGAAAAUAAAACCAAAAGGAUAUGAAGGAGACAGUAAUAGACCUAUCUAAGAAUGUGGACAUUUUGCCCAAGGAUACAUUUCUCUAGCAACCGUAAGAUAUCAUCAACAUACAGCUGAAGAAUUACUAUUUGACAAGAAUUAGCAUUUGACAGGAACAAUAAUAAAUAAAUUAAUAAGUGGUGAUGCAAAAUUACCACCAGCAGUUUGUGAGGUAACAUGAUGGCAGUGCAGCCUGAAGGAUCGACAUCAUAAGCUUCGCUUACAUGUAGCUAGGGCCACAUCAAUCUCAGCACCAACAUCCGAAGAUCUGCAGUCCCAUCAAAAUGUCCAACUUUAAGCUCCAAUCUGGGUGUUGAGAAAAUUGCAUACAAAAUCUGGGUGUCCAUGAGAUAGACCUGGGCAAAGCAUCCGACAAAACUUAGCACACUAUUAAAACAACUUUUGACAGAGAAUUGAGACAUACAAGAAUUUCAUUGGAGCCCAAAGUGCAAUGACAACACCAAUAUUAUUAUUUGCUGCAAACCAAGAUCAAAUAAUAACACCAAACUUUUCAAACCUGCAGAUUGUUACACUAUUUCAUUAU